CAGCAUUUGGUUAAAUCCACUCACUGGGUUACGACUAGAAUUCACAACAUAACAAUGUAGCGUAUCCAUUGGUAGACUAGACAGUGGGAUUGUUUCAAUCACGAAACUUUAAACUAAGUGCAGAUUUAGCAGAAUAUGAAUAGGGAAUUAAGAACAUAUAUAAUGAAAUAUUGACCUAAGAAUAAAUUUAGCUUGUGACAAAUGAACUAUACAAGGAUGAGUUAUAAACCAGGUGCGGUGUCUAACAUACACGAAUAUCUAGGUGACCUAAUAGAAAAAAGUAUAGAUUCGCGUACUAUAUACCCGUAAAGUGUUAUCUCUCAACUAUACCGUAAGAAAUUGUCAGGUUCCUGACUAGGACAAGUACAAACAAAUGUAGCGGGUUUAAAUAUUUUAUAGGCGCCAACCUUCACCCGAACUUUCAACAAUAGUGUAAUAAUGAAUGUUUUGAAUGCUGCUACAUUCAUAGAAAUUUUGAUUGACCAAUUUGAGUCUAAAAGAGGGGCGAAAGAUAAAAAAAGGGACGAAAGAUAACAGAGAGGCGAAAGAUAACCGGGGGACGGAAGAUAACAGAGGGACAUUCAAAUAUAUCAAUUUGUUUCUCUGACGUAGUCAAAAGACUAAAGGUGAAAAAACAUGUAUGUGACUAUCUACCAAAGGUUAGGCCUGUAAACCAAUGUUUUGUCAUUUUAUGGUCAUUUUUAUAAAUUUCCAGUUACAAAUCUUUAUAACUAUUUUGAUCUGAGCGUUACUGAUGAGUCUUAUGUAGACGAAACGCGUGUCUGGCGUAUUAAAUUAUAAUCUAGGUACCUUUGAUAACUAUUGUUGCUGUCUGUCAUAAUGUUUAUUAACUGUUUUUUUUAUGAAACUGUAAGCUUCUAUUUUAAAUUUGUUUGACAUUUUAUAAUACCAAGGCCUUUUAAAGCUUAUUACUUUGACAAAGGAUUAGUUUUGCGCAGUGUUGAAGGUCGUAUUUCUAUGUUUUGACUUGAUUGUUAUAAAAGUUUCAAUGUAUUAUAAGCUGUUUCAAAAUUUUGAUUUACAUCAAAUUAUUAUUAAGUUUUUGCAAAAUUCUAUAUCCUUCAAUGACAUUGUAAUUUGGACUAUAUGGUUGGAGUGAA
Molecule: long non-coding RNA, 1121 nt
Organism: Mytilus trossulus (common blue mussel)
Lineage: Eukaryota; Metazoa; Mollusca; Bivalvia; Mytilida; Mytilidae
Exons: 5
Source: RefSeq, a predicted model, not a curated record